UACGUAGGGUGCAAGCGUUGUCCGGAAUUAUUGGGCGUAAAGGGCUCGUAGGCGGUCUGUUGCGUCAGGAGUGAAAACUCGGGGCUUAACCCCCGAGCCUGCUUCUGAUACGGGCAGACUAGAGGUAUGCAGGGGAGAACGGAAUUCCUGGUGUAGCGGUGGAAUGCGCAGAUAUCAGGAAGAACACCCGUGGCGAAGGCGGCUCUCUGGGACGGUACUGACGCUGAGACGCGAAAGCGUGGGGAGCGAACAGG
RNAcentral lists this ribosomal RNA (254 nucleotides) under uncultured bacterium. RNAcentral's name for it is "partial 16S ribosomal RNA". It matches the Rfam family "Bacterial small subunit ribosomal RNA", at positions 524 to 776 of the family's 1533-position model. The record is from RNAcentral.